CUUUACUGCAGCUUCGCCUUGGCGUUAGCGGCAACAUGUGUAGGAUAGGUGGGAGGCUAUGAAACCGGGGCGCCAGUUCCGGGGGAGCCAUCCUUGAAAUACCACCCUUGUUGUCGCUGACGUCUAACCGCGGCCCGUUAUCCGGGUCCGGGACAUGGCGUGGCGGGCAGUUUGACUGGGGCGGUCGCCUCCCAAAGUGUAACGGAGGCGCGCGAUGGUGGGCUCAGAGCGGUCGGAAAUCGCUCGACGAGUGCAAUGGCAUAAGCCCGCCUGACUGCGAGACUGACAAGUCGAGCAGAGACGAAAGUCGGCCAUAGUGAUCCGGUGGUUCUGCGUGGAAGGGCCAUCGCUCAACGAAUAAAAGGUA
RNAcentral lists this ribosomal RNA (367 nucleotides) under uncultured organism. RNAcentral's name for it is "bacterial LSU rRNA". It matches the Rfam family "Bacterial large subunit ribosomal RNA", at positions 2099 to 2465 of the family's 2925-position model. The record is from RNAcentral.